CCAGAAGAGACCCUAACCGGUCCUCUCAACCCUGCCCAUCGUACCCUUUGUGUUGUUCCCGCUCGGCGAGGCUUUCGAGCCCCGCCGACGGGAAGAUCCACGAAACUCUUUGCAAGCAAGCAUUCUAAAACCUCUGAUUAACUACAAAUUGUCAC
RNAcentral lists this unclassified non-coding RNA (155 nucleotides) under soil metagenome. RNAcentral's name for it is "partial internal transcribed spacer 1". The record is from RNAcentral.